Anolis carolinensis (green anole) is the source of this 889-nucleotide long non-coding RNA. RefSeq lists it as uncharacterized. Lineage: Eukaryota; Metazoa; Chordata; Lepidosauria; Squamata; Anolidae. The record is from RefSeq and is a predicted model, not a curated record. The transcript has 3 exons.
AAGCAAUAUGAUUGGUUAUGUACGUAGCAUUAUGACAACAUCACUGCCAGAUCAUUUACAUGACCCUGAAAAAGGUUCUAAGCCAGGAAGAAAAAUGAUAUUAAAGCAGUUGGAGGAGGCAUAGAUCUAAAGAAACUUUAAAGAAACGACAACAAAAACAUUGUACAACCUGAGACAUAGACAUUUAGGGAACAUCACUGGAAAGGGCAAGAAGUGUUCUGGGGAUUUGCCGUCAAAGUAAAUUGGCCAGCCUUGGGUAUUAUGUUCCAUCAUUUUGAAAAGGGCCUCAGGAAACAAAAUGCCCUGGGCCAGUCCUGUCACUCAGAGAUCUACCAGUCAGUUCCAGCCAAACUUUUGCCUGUCCCCCUCACAGAAAAAUAACAUGGUGACAGGCCAUUCCGCUGGGAUGACUUUUGCCAAAGCAUGGAAACUGGAGGAAAUCCAGAAAAAAGACCUUUGGAUUCAUAAGCUAGAAGAAAUACAAAAUAUGGACAAGCUUACAUUCCUUUUGAAAGAAACGAGAGGAAAACCAGCUAGAAGGACAAACUGGAGUAAACUGGAAGAAUAUGUUAAAAAUGAUUUGAAUUAUGUUUAAUAACUUUGUUUAAUUGGAAAAUGAUAAUUUUGAAUACAGUUUUAAAAUAGUUAUUUGAAGAAUGGAAGAUACGCUUCCCCUUAGAUUGAUGUUCCCUGAAAUUUGUUACUCCCUUUGAUGUUAAUCCUUAUCCUUUGUUCCUUAUCCCCCCCCUUUUUUUCCUUUCUUUCUUUCUUUUUUCUUUCAAAUCAAAAUCCUUACCUCCCUUUCCCUUUGCUUUGUGUGUGUGUAUAUAUAUAUAUUUCUUUUUGUUUUUGUCCUUGUGUUUUUGCACUUAUCCCCAUUUUUAAAUGU